CCUACGGGAGGCUGCAGUGGGGAAUAUUGGUCAAUGGACGAGAGUCUGAACCAGCCAAGUAGCGUGAAGGAUGACUGCCCUAUGGGUUGUAAACUUCUUUUAUAUGGGAAUAAAACGUUCCACGUGUGGGAUUUUGUAUGUACCAUAUGAAUAAGGAUCGGCUAACUCCGUGCCAGCAGCCGCGGUAAUACGGAGGAUCCGAGCGUUAUCCGGAUUUAUUGGGUUUAAAGGGAGCGUAGGUGGAUUGUUAAGUCAGUUGUGAAAGUUUGCGGCUCAACCGUAAAAUUGCAGUUGAAACUGGCAGUCUUGAGUACAGUAGAGGUGGGCGGAAUUCGUGGUGUAGCGGUGAAAUGCUUAGAUAUCACGAAGAACUCCGAUUGCGAAGGCAGUUCACUGGACUGCAACUGACACUGAGGCUCGAAAGUGUGGGUAUCAAACAGGAUUAGAUACCCGUGUAGUC
This 460-nucleotide ribosomal RNA is filed under the name uncultured bacterium. Its description in RNAcentral is "partial 16S ribosomal RNA". It matches the Rfam family "Bacterial small subunit ribosomal RNA", at positions 338 to 795 of the family's 1533-position model. The record is from RNAcentral.